Molecule: ribosomal RNA, 823 nt
Filed under: Anelosimus pacificus
Lineage: Eukaryota; Metazoa; Arthropoda; Arachnida; Araneae; Theridiidae
Description: partial 16S ribosomal RNA
Rfam family: Bacterial large subunit ribosomal RNA (bases 86-390)
Source: RNAcentral
AACUAGCAUGAAAGGUAUAACAUUUAAAUUUCUUUAUUAUAUUCAUAUAAUUAAUUUAUAUUAAAUAUAAAAAUAUAUUUAUUUUAUAAAUAGACGACAAGACCCUAUUAAAUUUUACUUAAUGUUAAGCUGGGGCAGCUGUUCAAUAAAAAUUUUUUGUUUCAUUUAUUAACUAAACUUCUAGUAUAAUUAAAUAAUAAACAAAUUACUAUAGGGAUAACAGCGUUAUAUUAUUUUUAAGCUCAUAUUUAUAAUAAUGAUUGCGACCUCGAUGUUGAAUUAUAUUUCUUUUGUAACGCAAAAGUUAAAAAAGUAGGUCUGUUCGACCUUUAAAAUAUUACAUGAUUUGAGUUCAAACCGGUGUAAGCCAGGUUGGUUUCUAUCUUUUAAUUAAAUUUUUCUAGUACGAAAGGACACAUAAAUUUUUAUUUUAUCUUAUUAGCAAACUAUUGCAUUAGAUUUAGAAUCUAAAUAAUCUAAUUCUAUUCCCAUUAUUAAUUCAACAAUUUCAUCUCUAAGUUUACUAAUUGCAGUAGCUUUCUACACCAUUUUAGAACGAAAAAUUUUAAGAUAUAUUCAAUUUCGAAAAGGACCUAACAAAGUAGGAAUAAUAGGUAUUCUUCAACCAUUUUCAGAUGCAAUUAAACUUUUUAAUAAAAAUUUAACUUCUUCAGAAUCAAGAAAUUUCUUCAUUUCCUACAUUACCCCUGCCAUAUCAUUUAUUUUAUCAAUAAUGAUUAUUAUUUUAUUACCUUUAUACUAUAACUCUCCCAUUGAUAAUAAAAAUAAUAUUUUAACUUUUUUUAUUAUCUCAAGACUAGCA